This 507-nucleotide ribosomal RNA is filed under the name Glomus sp. MO-G6. RNAcentral's name for it is "SSU rRNA". It matches the Rfam family "Eukaryotic small subunit ribosomal RNA", at positions 569 to 1078 of the family's 1831-position model. The record is from RNAcentral. Lineage: Eukaryota; Fungi; Glomeromycota; Glomeromycetes; Glomerales; Glomeraceae.
AGCAGCCGCGGUAAUUCCAGCUCCAAUAGCGUAUAUUAAAGUUGUUGCAGUUAAAAAGCUCGUAGUUGAAUUUCGAGAUCAGUACGCUGGUCGUGCCUUCGGUAUGCACUGGUGUCACUGGUUUCUCCCUUCUGAAGAACCGUCAUGCCAUUCAGUUGGUGUGGCGGGGAAUCAGGACUGUUACUUUGAAAAAAUUAGAGUGUUUAAAGCAGGCUCGCGCUUGAAUACAUUAGCAUGGAAUAAUGAAAUAGGACGUUUGACCCUAUUUUGUUGGUUUCUAGGAUCGACGUAAUGAUUAAUAGGGAUAGUUGGGGGCAUUAGUAUUCAAUUGUCAGAGGUGAAAUUCUUGGAUUUAUUGAAGACUAACUACUGCGAAAGCAUUUGCCAAGGAUGUUUUCAUUAAUCAAGAACGAAAGUUAGGGGAUCGAAGACGAUCAGAUACCGUCGUAGUCUUAACCAUAAACUAUGCCGACUAGGAUCGGAUGAUGUUAAUUUUUUAAUGACUCA